RNAcentral lists this unclassified non-coding RNA (139 nucleotides) under soil metagenome. Its description in RNAcentral is "partial internal transcribed spacer 1". The record is from RNAcentral.
CCUAGAGUUGUAGGCUUUGCCUGCUAUCUCUUACCCAUGUCUUUUGAGUACCUUCGUUUCCUCGGCGGGUCCGCCCGCCGAUUGGACAGUUUAAAACCAUUUGCAGUUGCAAUCAGCGUCUGAAAAAACUUAAUAGUUA